This 253-nucleotide ribosomal RNA is filed under the name uncultured bacterium. RNAcentral describes it as "partial 16S ribosomal RNA". It matches the Rfam family "Bacterial small subunit ribosomal RNA", at positions 524 to 776 of the family's 1533-position model. The record is from RNAcentral.
UACGAAGGGGGCUAGCGUUGUUCGGAAUUACUGGGCGUAAAGCGCGCGCAGGUGGUCUUUCAAGUCAGUGGUGAAAGCCCGGAGCUCAACUCCGGAAAUGCCAUUGAAACUGUAAGACUUGAGGAUGAGAGAGGUGAGUGGAAUUCCCAGUGUAGAGGUGAAAUUCGUAGAUAUUGGGAAGAACACCGGUGGCGAAGGCGGCUCACUGGCUCGUAACUGACGCUCAGGCGCGACAGCGUGGGGAUCAAACAGG